This 468-nucleotide ribosomal RNA is filed under the name uncultured bacterium. RNAcentral's name for it is "partial 16S ribosomal RNA". It matches the Rfam family "Bacterial small subunit ribosomal RNA", at positions 28 to 507 of the family's 1533-position model. The record is from RNAcentral.
GACGAACGCUGGCGGCGUGCUUAACACAUGCAAGUCGAACGGAAAGGCCCUGCUUUUGUGGUGUGCUCGAGUGGCGAACGGGUGAGUAACACGUGAGUAACCUGCCCUUGACUUUGGUAUAACUUCAGGAAACUGGGGCUAAUACCGGAUAGGAGCUCCUGCUGCAUUGUGGGGGGUGGAAAGUUUCGGCGGUUGGGGAUGGACUCGCGGCUUAUCAGCUUGUUGGUGGGGUAGUGGCUUACCAAGGCUUUGACGGGUAGCCGGCCUGAGAGGGUGACCGGCCAAAUUGGGACUGAGAUACGGCCAGGACUCCUCCGGGAGGAAGCAGUGGGGAAUAUUGCACAAUGGGCGGAAGCCUGAUGCAGCAACGCCGCGUGCGGGAUGACGGCCUUCGGGUUGUAAACCGCUUUCGCCUGUGACGAAGCGUGAGUGACGGUAAUGGGUAAAGAAGCACCGGCUAACUACGUG